Molecule: ribosomal RNA, 254 nt
Filed under: uncultured bacterium
Lineage: Bacteria
Description: partial 16S ribosomal RNA
Rfam family: Bacterial small subunit ribosomal RNA
Source: RNAcentral
UACGAAGGGGGCUAGCGUUGUUCGGAAUUACUGGGCGUAAAGGGCGCGUAGGCGGCGUGUCAAGUCAGGCGUGAAAGCCCCGGGCUCAACCUGGGAACCGCGCUUGAGACUGGCAUGCUCGAGUUCGGGAGAGGAUGGUGGAAUUCCCAGUGUAGAGGUGAAAUUCGUAGAUAUUGGGAAGAACACCGAUGGCGAAGGCAGCCAUCUGGGACCGACACUGACGCUGAGGCGCGAAAGCGUGGGGAGCAAACAGG